This 253-nucleotide ribosomal RNA is filed under the name uncultured bacterium. Its description in RNAcentral is "partial 16S ribosomal RNA". It matches the Rfam family "Bacterial small subunit ribosomal RNA", at positions 524 to 776 of the family's 1533-position model. The record is from RNAcentral.
UACGUAGGGGGCAAGCGUUGUCCGGAAUCAUUGGGCGUAAAGAGCGCGUAGGCGGCCCUGUAAGUCCGCUGUGAAAGUCAAGGGCUCAACCCUUGGAUGCCGGUGGAUACUGCAGGGCUAGAGUCCGGAAGAGGCGAGUGGAAUUCCUGGUGUAGCGGUGAAAUGCGCAGAUAUCAGGAGGAACACCCGUAGCGAAGGCGGCACUCUGGGCCGAUUCUGACACUGAGGAGCGAAAGCGUGGGGAGCGAACAGG